Molecule: long non-coding RNA, 3284 nt
Organism: Hippopotamus amphibius kiboko
Lineage: Eukaryota; Metazoa; Chordata; Mammalia; Artiodactyla; Hippopotamidae
Exons: 3
Source: RefSeq, a predicted model, not a curated record
GGGCCUGGACAUGCUCAGGCCUCUGGAGCUGCUUCUGUGCCCAGCCCAAGCUGAUCCAACAUGGCAGAACCGAAACUCCUCACAGCAAUGACAUGCACGCUUAGCCCGGAUUUAAGUGUCAUUUUACAUGAGUGGAGUCCAGAGUGGCCCAAAUUCAGACAGAGCAACUGUGGAGCAAGAGGCGUGACACCAGCACACACACCCUCCUCCCCAACUGGCCAGCCCUGAGCACAGAUCUACUUGCUGGCACUUGCUGGACCUGAGGUGCCAGGUUUUCCAGAAAUGCCUAUAAGGGAGAGGAUCUGGGAAGCAGUGGGAAGAUCUUGUAACUUCCUCCUGACGGCAGGAACCCAGGAUUGGACGGAACUCCUUGUACCACGUGGCUAUUUCAGCUGGUGUGGGAAACACCUGUGCUUCCUAAUGACUCAUUCAGCAUCCAAACUAUGGAGCCCGAAGGUGACCAUGCAAGUGUGUCUGGGGGUGAGGCAGGCACCGGCCACAGCUAGGCAGCCUUUAAAGAUCAUCUUUGCGUAAGAUGACAGACAACAAAGCCUUUCUCCCAUCCCAUGUCUGUCACCUGUACUGGAAGCAAAGCUCUUCUGUUUCCUAUGACACCCCAUGCCUGUACACUUCAGUUCUGGUUACCUGCUAUAUGAGGUGUAAAGGGAAUUCCUCUGGAUGAAAAAAGGAUCUAAAAACCUGCAACUGAGGGUCUUGUAUUUAAGGGGGAAACAUCCUAUUUGGAGGUUUUCUUUCUCUGCCUAUUGUUAUCCAUGUGUUUCCUAAAGUCAGGACAGGUACUAUGAGGCCAGGGUAAGAAAACCUGUGCCACGUCCACUGACUUGCAGCAGUAAGUACAAGAAUCUUGGAAACAAAGCACUUACUGAUUUUGAGAACAGAAGAAAAGGUUUCUACAUUAAAGCAUGUUACAAACAAAGAUGCUAAACUAGGCAGCAGCCGCAGGCUAGGCUAACAAAGACAGAUGAUGCUGGACUAGGUUCUAAUUCACGGGUUGUGUUUGUUUUUUUGGCAACAGCAGUCAUUUUGGUAUAAAGAGGGAAAUGCCACAAGAUAAAGGGGGCAUAGAGCAGAAGCACAGUGGCAUCUGGUGCCAAGCACAUCCCAGCUCCUCCAGUCCUGCCUCCUGAGGAUGUGGACCUGGGCGUGGACCACACCCCACAUAUGCUUGCUCCUGCUCAGACUGCAGCCCAGGGGCCAUGCCAGGACUUGGCCCAAUGACUGCCGCCCACAAGACACACCCUGAAGCCUGGAAACUCCUGAGUUUUUCUAAAGGAAGUUCCAGUUAACCAAUCAAAGCUUUAGUUUAGAAUUUAAAGAAGGAAAUCCCUACUAAAGGAGAAAAAGAAAUCAAUUUCAUGCCAACUAUAACGUAUACCCACAAUCCUGCUCCUCUUCUAUGGAGGGAAAAGUGCUGGUGCUCUGGGACGUGCCCACACUCAGAGCCAUGCUCUCUGAAAGCUCAGGUCUCCAGAGGCAGGUGCUCAUUGGGCCCCAGCGGCCCUGGGCACUGGCCUUACUGCUGCCUACAGGGCACCUCUAACUGGGGUUCAUAUCUUGAACCCCUUGUGCUGUGACAGCCAUGUCAACUUCUGAAUCAAGAAGGUCCUCAGGACUUUGAUUCUGUCACCACAACUCCAACUCUCAUCUUCUCUCCCUGCUUCACAGAAUGUUCCUCUUUGUGGAACCCUUAAUCCUCCACAGCUCCUAAAAAUCUGAAGCCCACUACACUUUCAAAGCAGGCAGUCAGACGGCAAACUGAACCAGACCGAGUGCACGACCUUGGCUCAGGAACAGCCUGACCUCCGCUGGCUUCGUUCUUCUUCAGAUGCCCACAAAGAGAGCUGAACAUCUUAGCUGUUUGCUGAGUGCCCAGGUGGUGCUCACCUGCUCAAAGGCACACACCCGUGUCUCUGCCAGCUCCCCCGCUGCAAGGGCCAUCAGCACUUCUCCACAAAGACAGAUUAUAAAGGGGUUCAAGGGGUACCAAGUCAUUCGUGGCUUAACCAUGGCUGUAAAAGGUUGGCCCGACCUGCAGGGCACUUAAAAACUUGCCUGGAUCAUCCGGGCAUAUGUAGCAGCAGAAGCUGAGUUCACCUAGGCACCCAUCACUGCACCCAGGGGCACCACCCAGCCUCUGGGCCACCUUCCUGCCCCAGAGCAGCACCAUGGAGCUUGCGUUAGCUCUGAAGCAUGGAAAGCUGAGUGGAUAAUUCUUCUCUUCUCCCAUUUUGGUAAUUCCAUUACCAAUUCCCUCUCCAUAGUUUCUGGCCUUAGCUGAUAAUCUUUAGUUUUCACAUGGUCAUAUCUAUGAGUUUGUAAAUGGCUGUUUGAGACCUAUUUGCUCUGAAUGGGAGGAAACUUGUGACAAGUGAAAACAAGGCCCUGAUGACUUCCUUUCCUACCGGCUACAGUGACCCUGGGCUGUGACCAGUCAGGGGCUGUGCAGGGGAUUAGGACCACCCACGUCUGUGGAACUGUGGACACACCUCACAGGCUGGUUUGGCAGGGAGUAGGAAGAGGCGAUUUUAAGGAAAAAAACCCACAAUUCUUUACAAGUCUGGUGCCCACGAGCCCUUCCUUAUCCUGCCCUUCGAGACCAGAAUAAAUGUGUUUUUAAAGGUAGGGGUGGUGGCACUCACCUCCUGACACAGGAAGAGGUUAGUGAAAGCGGGAUGAAUUAGGGCCUGAUCCCCAUUAGGAGUUCAAAUGCCCCAAAAUGACCAGGACAGGUUAUGUCCUUCAGCAGCUACAGGUGAGAUGGGAGAGGAGUGGCAGCUCACCUAGACACCCGAGCAGGGAAUGCUCUGCCCAAGGAGCCCACAAAAAGGGUCAUCACUUUGGUAAGUGUUAAAAGCAGCCUGUUCUGAACUCCUGUUCCCUAGACAGGGCCUGGGCCAACCCCCCACAGUGUCUCAUAGAUGUGGACAGGUCCCAGGGCUCCAGCAGUAGAACUCUGAGAUUCUGAACAGACGGUACCAAAGCUUGGGUGACGCCGCUUAUCAGACGGCACCCCUACUGGCUCACAGUCGGCCAGUGAAACUCCCCUCUGAUUUGUACCAGCACCUCCGAUAGGCCAUAGAGAAAGGGGACUCCAAAUGCAAGCAGCUGGCACAUGAAAAAGGAGUCCAGAGGGUUUUGGGCCACCUGAUGCCCAAUCGAAGAAAUGUUGCUUUGGAGGUGCUGGCUCAUCCCCUUGGCCUUGUCACAGAGGCCGAGAGAGUGACGCGCCACCCAGCCAAACAAGGAAGUGAGGCUACCUGGAG